Molecule: non-coding RNA, 388 nt
Organism: Callithrix jacchus (white-tufted-ear marmoset)
Lineage: Eukaryota; Metazoa; Chordata; Mammalia; Primates; Cebidae
Source: RefSeq, a predicted model, not a curated record
ACUCAAUUACAGUAUUUCCUGUUCUUAAAAGCGUCUAGUAGGAAGGCUGUAAGAAACUUUCUCUCACUGAUCUUUCUUAUUUGCCAUGUUAGAUUUUAAGUUGCUUCUUGGCUACCAAAAUGCCUAGGCACAAUAAUCAACAAGAAUACAACUGACAUGUAGUUUGACCAAAUCUGAAGGAAGUAUUCCUUAGAAGGUAUGUGGACACAAGAGAAAUAAGCCAAAAACUAGACUAUUAUAAAAUCUUUCUUCUAAAGGACCACCUUCACAACAGCAUGUACCUUCUUCCACUAAAACUGGUCAGAUUCAACUUCAAUCAAAUCCAUCUAGUCAACAAAGAUCCACAGUCUCUCAAACUCAUUUAAAUUCUAUUGCUUCUAAGAGAUUA